This 413-nucleotide long non-coding RNA is filed under the name Triticum aestivum (bread wheat). RNAcentral describes it as "long non-coding RNA (TAES_LNC028104)". Lineage: Eukaryota; Viridiplantae; Streptophyta; Magnoliopsida; Poales; Poaceae. The record is from RNAcentral.
GUUGUGCUCGAUUACAUGUCUUAUUCGUGCUAUCUAUAUCUCAGAAAAAACAGAGUAUGGAAGGCCCGUGGUUUGCACACGAGAAAUUAUAGUGGCCUACACAGUCAUGGCUCUCCUGCUGUCUGCACUUUCUUUAGAGACCUUCCCACGAACCAAAUAAAAAAAUAUCAACACUUGCGUGUCUUCCCAACCUGUAAUUAAAUGAUUUCCGGUCUAAGCUAUUGCUGGUUCACCCGUAAUAAAUUCAGGUCUGGCAUGAUGAUACCUUUGUAAUGUCGGAUGAGUGCUGGUUUCAGCGAUUCUCCAUUGGACUCCAUGGCAGCACUGUGCAGGCGUAGCACAACAAAAGCUCCAACGCAAAGCACCGACGGCCCAAGGCUUUGCUCCAUUAGAAGUCCAUGGCAGCACCAUGU